AGUAAGAUGAAGACGUAUGAGUCCAUUUUAACGAUAAUAUGAUGUAUGUUUGUGUGUAACUGCUGUAGCUUGCAGGUGACGCAGUGCGUAUGACUCAGAGGGAGAAAGAGCGCUUACAGGAGCUCCUCAAGGACAUAGAAGAAGAAGAGGAGGCUUAUGAUGACCCACUGGCCAACCCUGAGCUUGCAGGUGAUGUGGGGAGUGGAGUUUUGACUCAGAAAGAAAAAGACAGAUUAAAUCAGCUCCUCAGUGACUUAGAAGAAGAAGAAGAAGAAGAAGAUUAUGAUGACCCACUGGCCAGCCCUGAGGCAGACUUUUCACUGUGGACUGUGCCCACCACAUCUGGUGAGGGUUACACGCCCCAGCCGGCCGAGCUUGACCAGCUCCUUCAUAUCGAUGCCAGACUGCAGCUCCUACUUCCUGUUGAGGACUUCUUCUGUGUGAGAAGCCCAUAUACUGACCGCAGCCUGACCCAGAACACGCAGAGGGAGUCGACGUCCAGUGUGUUUCAGCUGCUCACAUCCUCGUACUCGACCACACCAGGCAACCCGGCCACUCACUCUCACCGCAGUGUAGCUCUGCAGCUGGACUGGCUGUGGGAACGGCCGGCUUUCGGACGGUUGUGGUGCACAGUGCAUGCAUCCUGCCUGACACAUCUAUUUAAACUAGUGCUACAGAAUCUCUGCUGGUAUUAAAAUUAGAAUAAAUAUGUAAAGUUGCACA
RNAcentral lists this long non-coding RNA (723 nucleotides) under Astyanax mexicanus (Mexican tetra). RNAcentral describes it as "lncRNA (ENSAMXG00005025364.1)". The record is from RNAcentral. Lineage: Eukaryota; Metazoa; Chordata; Actinopteri; Characiformes; Acestrorhamphidae.